GAUGAACGCUGGCGGCGUGCCUAAUACAUGCAAGUCGAGCGCACGGACGAUAAGCUUGCUUCUCUGAUGUUAGCGGCGGACUGGUGAGUAACACGUGGAUAACCUACCUAUAAGACUGUGAUAACUUCGGGAAACCGGAGCUACUACCUGAUAAUAUUUUUAACCUCAUGGUUCAAAAGUAAACGACGGUCUUGCUGUCACUUAUAGAUUGAUCCGCGCUGCAUUAGCUAGUUGGUAAGGUAACGGCUUACCAAGGCAACGAUGCAUAGCCGACCUGAGAGGGGGAUCGGCCACACUGGAACUGAGACACGGUCCAGACUCCUACGGGAGGCAGCAGUAGGGAAUCUUCCGCAAUGGGCGAAAGCCUGACGGAGCAACGCCGCGUGAGUGAUGAAGGUCUUCGGAUCGUAAAACUCUGUUAUUAGGGAAGAACAUAUGUGUAAGUAAAUGUGCACAUCUUGACGGUACCUAAUCAGAAAGCCACGGCUAACUACGUG
This 497-nucleotide ribosomal RNA is filed under the name uncultured bacterium. RNAcentral describes it as "partial 16S ribosomal RNA". It matches the Rfam family "Bacterial small subunit ribosomal RNA", at positions 28 to 507 of the family's 1533-position model. The record is from RNAcentral.